UACAGAGGUCUCAAGCGUUGUUCGGAUUCAUUGGGCGUAAAGGGUGUGUAGGUGGCGCGCUAAGUCGGGUGUGAAAUUUCGGAGCUUAACUCCGAAACUGCAUUCGAUACUGGCGUGCUUGAGGACUGGAGAGGAGACUGGAAUUCAUGGUGUAGCAGUGAAAUGCGUAGAUAUCUGGAGGAACACCGGUGGCGAAGGCGGCAUCCUGGACCGACACUGACGCUGAGGAGCGAAAGCCAGGGGAGCAAACGGG
Molecule: ribosomal RNA, 253 nt
Filed under: uncultured bacterium
Lineage: Bacteria
Description: partial 16S ribosomal RNA
Rfam family: Bacterial small subunit ribosomal RNA
Source: RNAcentral